Psammomys obesus (fat sand rat) is the source of this 968-nucleotide long non-coding RNA. RefSeq lists it as uncharacterized. The record is from RefSeq and is a predicted model, not a curated record. The transcript is spliced from 3 exons. NCBI's taxonomy places the organism in Eukaryota, Metazoa, Chordata, Mammalia, Rodentia, Muridae.
UUUUGAAGUCUUUAGAGAACUGUGAUCUUUGUUCCACCACUGGGGAAAGAGGACAUCUUUGCACGUGUCUGGCAUUGUUCAUGACAACACGGCGACCGAAAUAAAGCAAGAGUUUCUGGGAGUAGCAUUAGGAUGCCGCACUCCCGCUGUGCUCACCAGUUCUCUGCUCUGCACAGCUGCCUUCUCAGCUGGGGGUUUGAAAUCAGCACUGUGAGAAGAGACAGAAAUGACUGUGAUGCAUGCCCCUCACUAUGAGGAAAAGGUAUGGUGUAUCCUGAGAGGAAAAGGAGCAAAGACGUCCUAGAAGUUGAAGCUACUCUCCGGAUCCCACAACCAUCAUACCGUCCUCUUUGCUCUCAUGUUGCACACUCACCUGAAGGAGCUGGAAGAAUGCUAAUAAUGGCAAGUGCUCUCAGAGUGCCUGGAAGCGAUUUCAAGGCAGAUUGUGAUGUUGAAAGAAGCUGCAUCCAUUUUGUGUCCAUGAAGAAAGAAACAUGAACAAUCGAAAGAAGAAUUCCAGAAAUGCCAAUCUCAAUUUGAUUAAACAGAGAAAUGAUGCUUGUUGAACAUCAAGCAUCAUUAAAAAUUUUCACACAUAUAUAAUAAUUGUACAUUUUUAUGGGCUGUGAUACACUACUUUUAUGGAUAUAGGUCCUAAAAUUAUUCCACUUUCAUUAAAAGUGGUAAUAUGUGGCUUUGUUCAGUUGAGAACAUUCCUAACUGAAGCCAUGUGUAUUCACAUACAGUAAAUCCAUUAGAGAUUGUUGACAGGUGAAUAUUAUGUUAUAAAAUAACACACUUACCAAUAAAGUUAAAAGUAAUUGUGGUACUUGAACGUAUGGUGAUCAUUUUAUUUGGUAACCAAAAAAGAAUUAAAGAAAUUUCUUGUAUCAUUCCAAGAUCUGUGACCAAAGGACACAUUUGAGGUUUUUCACAUAAAAUACAGAGUUGCAAUAUCUUUCUGGUUC